CAAAAUUGCCUACCCUACCUUUAAUUAAUGUCUUAAAAUAUCAAAUUGCCAAGUAUUGCAAAUCUGUGAUGCGAGCUGGGGAACCUCAGAGAAAGCUCUUACCAAUGAGAGUUGAGCGGCCAUCACCCAGAGGGUACCGCUGGUAACGGGAAACAGGAAAAGGGGGCAGGUGGGUGAGAACUGGGUGCAGCAAAGGUUCCAGACGUGAGGCAGAGGGGUCCGAAGGGUAGAACAUAUUAAAAAUCUGAGAACAAGCUGGCCGGAGCUGAGCCACUAAUAAAGAUGGAAGAGAGUAACCAUUCAUCAGGUAACACAGUUCUUCUCAUGGCUAGCACCAGACCCAGUGGGCAUCCCAGCAGAAAGCAGUCUGACACUUCAAACUCAAAGCAGCCUGGAUUGAGGGCCUGCCUGGAGCCACACUGAUCAUCCUGAGACAAACUGUGAGGCAACACUUAAUUAAUGAUUAAUCCGAAUUAAUGAUUUAAUUUUAUGCUGAUGUCAUCAUGUGCUCCCAUGACCAGUCUGUUAAGACUUUAGAACCAAGCAAGAUCUUUAUCCUUGACACAUUCCAUUGCAAACAUCCAUUUCAGGAUAAUUUCUUUAACAUGGAGGCUUUCUUUAGAACCUAAAAAUCCAAACCAAUUUAUCUGAAUCUUAUCAAUUACAAAUCAAUUACGUUCAACACAACAUUUUGUUUGUUUGUUUGUUUGGCUCCCAACUGUUACUCUCAUGACUGUGAUAUACUACAGUGAUUUUUUUCUGCAUUCUUUUUAUUUCAGACAACAGUUUAUCUGUAAACUGAACAAUGCAACUGAAUGAGUCAUUAGCAUUCAAAACAUUCCAAGCAUGCUUUGAUACACUAUCUAAGUGUAUUUAUACAAUGCUGUAGAAAAAUGUAUGAUCUGCAUAAAACUGUCUCAAUGUUUAUUCUGUCUCAUGUUUAUUACUGGCUUAUUCUUUUUUGAAUUUUGUAACUUUUAAAAAAAUAAAUAUGUAAUAUAAUGAAGUGUUUCUAUAAAAAUGUAAAUGAGACUUUUGACACAAGUCUUUGAAAUGAUUUCUGUGAUUUUAUUAAACAGGAUGGAAUGUUUUAAAGUGAGACAAACCAACUAAAUCCACAAGAAAGAAAAAAAAAUCAGAAUUCAUCAUGUUUGUGCAGUUUUUCCAUACAUCAAUUUCUGCAGAAUUAUUAAAAUCAUUAAAACCCUGGUAUUUGCUAGUUAAAGGUGGGGUAUGUAUUUUUUCAACAACAUUGUUUGAAAGUUAGUCGGGCUGACACCAACAACAAACGUCUAAACAAUCAGCAUUAGGGGCCGUAUGACGGUCGAGGAGACAGAAUGAGCAAGAGGGAAAUUUGAAGAAGAAAAAAAAACAACGCAGAAAGAGAGAUAAUAAGACACAAUACAAAACAGCUCAAAAGAAUAUCACUGGAAUGAAGAUUAUGACUGGGCAAGCACUUUAGGACCAGUGUUAAUAUUAGAAAAGCUUUCCAGCCCUGGAGAGAGCUAAGCAGGAAGGCCUGAAAACAGACGUGGAGGCUGCUUUGAUUCCGCUUUGAUUUUCCAUGUGAGUAAAAUUGGGUUUGAGUGUCAUUGAUUGUCUGGGGCUGCUGUGCUGUUGGCGAAUAACAACAAACACUUGUUUGUAUUUACUCUUAUAACGGAUGUCUAAAUAUGGUCAUGGGACACCGUUGUUUAAGCGGAACUAAUUAUGGUGGAAAUGUUUUACCGGGAGCCAUAAACAGACGCACAUUGCACACAAUAGACAAAGGGGUUUCACUUGUUGUCGCGAUUAGCACACAACCGAAGCUAAAGGGAAUGUGAAGCACAAAUUGAAGAGUCCUGAUGUUUUCUUUGAAUCCUCCCUUCUCUAUGCAGUUUAUGAGGGAGAAGGCAUCAGCACACACAGGCGGGCAGGGUACCAGUCUGACCAGCAUGCUGUCUGCUGCUGCUUGGAAGUGCGCCCGAGCCACACGCUCCAACACGGACGCCAGAGUGGCAGCAUCACCCGCCUUCCCUCCAGGGUCGCCACC
Ctenopharyngodon idella (grass carp) is the source of this 2032-nucleotide long non-coding RNA. RefSeq lists it as uncharacterized. The transcript has 4 exons. The record is from RefSeq and is a predicted model, not a curated record. Lineage: Eukaryota; Metazoa; Chordata; Actinopteri; Cypriniformes; Xenocyprididae.